UGGGGGUAGGGGUGGGGUGUCUGCUUCAGGGCUGAGUGCAAUUGACAACGAACAAGAAAAUAAGAAAAUUCUUCGUUACAAUGAAGCACCUUUGCUCAGGCCUGGGGAGACUGCUGAGCAGAUUUAUUCUGGCAAAUCACUAUUCAGGGUCCAAGAUGGGACUCCUUAAAUAAAUCACAGUAAAAAUUAGAUGGAAUCAACCAGA
Molecule: long non-coding RNA, 205 nt
Organism: Mastomys coucha (southern multimammate mouse)
Lineage: Eukaryota; Metazoa; Chordata; Mammalia; Rodentia; Muridae
Exons: 2
Source: RefSeq, a predicted model, not a curated record